This 254-nucleotide ribosomal RNA is filed under the name uncultured bacterium. Its description in RNAcentral is "partial 16S ribosomal RNA". It matches the Rfam family "Bacterial small subunit ribosomal RNA", at positions 524 to 776 of the family's 1533-position model. The record is from RNAcentral.
UACGUAGGGGGCAAGCGUUGUCCGGAUUUAUUGGGCGUAAAGAGCGUGUAGGCGGCCAGGUAGGUCCGUUGUGAAAACUCGAGGCUCAACCUCGAGACGUCGGCGGAAACCCUCUGGCUAGAGUCCGGAAGAGGAGAGUGGAAUUCCGUGGUGUAGCGGUGAAAUGCGCAGAUAUCAGGAAGAACACCCGUGGCGAAGGCGGCUCUCUGGGACGGUACUGACGCUGAGACGCGAAAGCGUGGGGAGCAAACAGG